This 83-nucleotide transfer RNA is filed under the name Spirochaetia bacterium. Its description in RNAcentral is "tRNA-Leu". It matches the Rfam family "tRNA". Rfam says of the family: Transfer RNA (tRNA) molecules are approximately 80 nucleotides in length. Lineage: Bacteria; Pseudomonadati; Spirochaetota; Spirochaetia. The record is from RNAcentral.
GCCCGGGUGAUGGAAUUGGUAGACAUACAGGACUUAAAAUCCUGGGACCUUUGGUCGUGCGGGUUCGAUUCCCGCUCCGGGUA